CUAGUUCUGGUUUUUUUGUGUGUCUUGUGACUCCAUAUUUAUGGUGCAAACUCCAUGCUUUCAGGGGUUUCAGGCUUAACUGAACCGAAGUUCAAAAGGCCUCAUUCCUAAGCCACUCCUAAGCUGUCCUUCUGCGCCUCUGCUUCAUCACUCAUCCCUCGAGGCAGUAAAUGCUGCAAAACCGUGAGGGAAGCUGAAUAAAGAAGGGCAGGAGACCUCAGACAUAAACACAGGGGGAAAAAAGGAUACAAUUUCUUGAAAUAUUUUCUCUCUCUUUUUUUUUUUUUGAUGGGUACCAGGAGCCAAACGCAGGACUUCGAACUUUCCAAGCAGGUGCUGUACCAUUGAGCUAUAUCCCUGGCUCUCAAAAUAUUUUCUUAUUGCAAUUUCAUUUAAUUCUCAAUGAUCGCCCCAUGAUAUAGGUGCUAUAAAUAAAGAGAUGACACUAAGCUCCUUUCUGAUGAUACUUUACCAGGGCUUUUUUUUUUUUUCUUUUUUCUUUUUUAAUUUUUUGGUAUUGAGGAUUGAAUUCAAGUUCUAGCAAAAAAUUACAAUCAGGGCUAAAGACAUGCACUCUUAUUUCACUUAAAGGACAACACAAAAUCACGGAGAUGAAAUCUUGUCGAAUGGAGACAAGUCUUAAUCAAAGGCACACUUGAAAUUUACAAGUAAGCCUAUUAUUUGGAAAUGAAUAAAGCAAAAGAUUUGAGAACUAGCCUCUUAAUUAACUUAAACUCCCUCUUGGAACCUCUUCUAAUAAUUAGCUUAUCAAAAAAAUCCUUUUGCUUACCUACAGCGUGAAUGUCAAGUUUGCUUAAGCAUUCAAUAAUAUUGAUUGAGGCCCUUCUGUAGCCCCUGUCUAAAGAGUAAUUAGGUUUCAAACUUUCCAAUUGGUAGCACUCACGUUUGAGCUGUGCUCUUCCUACAAUUUGAGAAUGCUUUUCUAAACUAGCCAGAGAGGAGUUUUAUUCAGUGGACGCUUGCUGGGUGUUGGCUGGGUCACAGCACUGAUGGGAGGCUCUGGCCUGGAGAGGAGAUCUAGGAGCCUCUUGGGAGAGAGAAAAGAGGGGGGAAGCCAGGAAAGAGGUGCUCACUGAGAAAAAGUCUAAAGGAGAAGGUAUUAAGUAUUUGAGGUGUGAAUGAAAGCUGUGUUGGGGACGAAAACCAAAACUUUUGUCUCCCUUCUUAGAUAGUGACUGCAAAUGAACUGAUAGGUUAACAGGAGAAAAAGUGCUUGGUUGCCACAGAUAGACAUGAAUGCCCAGAAAUGGCUGAAAAGUACGUGUGCGCCAGACACAGAGACUACUACAUGAUUUUACCAAGGACGGUGUAUUCGUGGAGAAGGAAAAAUGUGAGCUUCUGGGGGCCCUGCCUUACAAGAAGUUAGAUGUGUGGGUGAGGAAACUGCUCAGAGGUUUAUUGAUUUAAAUUUUGUGCCCCUGGAAUAGAACGCAGGUCUCUCCCAUGUUAGGCAAAUGCUCUGCCACCAGGCUACACCGUCGGUCUGGAAGGGUUGCGGGACUUAGAUGUGUGCAGGCCCACUUUGGUGUUGGCUUUUUGUUGGGAGCCACAGCCCCGAGCCCGGUCGCCUCACUUGGCGGACGUGCGGCCUGUGGUAAAGAGCAAAGCCUGAGGUAGAUUACCCCUCCCAUCGAAUAUGUUAGUUUCCUGCUUACCGCGUAAACAACCCGCUCAACAAUAUAGUCUGCCUGGCAACUGAUGAUGUUAGCCAAUCAGCUUGCCUUGCUUACUUUAACAUGAUUGGACACUGUACCCGUAUAUAUACCGGUGCCAUCCCUGGGCGGAAGAAGAAGCCAGAUAGAAGCCCGGAAGUAGAAGCCCAAAAGGAGCCGCGGGGAGCAGACCAAAGGAGGCUUCAGCUGGGAGAACCCAGGGCAGGCUGUACGGAGAAGGAAAAUAAAAAGAAAAGGUUGUCCACUACCAGACUUUGUCGUGUGUCCUUCCUGCCGGCCGGGAGCGGACAUCGACAUUUGGAGGCCCGCCCGGGGACUGAUCACCCCCGCGACGUGGAAGUGGACAACGCUCCAGUACAGAGCUGCGAGACAGGAAUCGGGACGAGAACCACUGUGGAUACCGGAGAGACUGACACGGACAACAAAGCCCUCGACUGAAGAUCAGACCUGCCCUACUGGAGAUCCAUCACAGACCAACCAACAAGAUGAAUAGAAAUAGCGGUAGCCCGAAAUGGACAAGAAGAUCCUCAGGCAUAUGCAUGGCUCGCUCGCCUAGCCUACGACCGAGUCUAGGGACGGUGAGCUUCCCACACUCCUCCUCUAAAAAAUUAUGAUAUAGCAGGGUAGAUGAGUCAAUGACGGGUAAGAGCGUGCCUCCCCAGCACGACUCGACCUAAGCCAGGCCCUACCCCAUCCUGCACGUAAGCCGCUGGACUGUUAGAUGCUGCCCAGGUCUAAAUUUCUCUCCGAGGGGAUUUCUUUACGGAGAGGAAAUGAGUGCAAGCUUGUGUGCAUCCAGGUUCCGUCCAGUUUGUGCCUGGCCCUAGAAAAA
This is a long non-coding RNA of Cavia porcellus (domestic guinea pig), 2526 nucleotides long. RefSeq lists it as uncharacterized. The record is from RefSeq and is a predicted model, not a curated record. NCBI's taxonomy places the organism in Eukaryota, Metazoa, Chordata, Mammalia, Rodentia, Caviidae. The transcript has 2 exons.